Molecule: ribosomal RNA, 491 nt
Filed under: uncultured bacterium
Lineage: Bacteria
Description: bacterial SSU rRNA
Rfam family: Bacterial small subunit ribosomal RNA
Source: RNAcentral
AUUGAACGCUGGCGGUAUGCUUAACACAUGCAAGUCGAACGGCAGCACAGCAGAGCUUGCUCUGUGGGUGGCGAGUGGCGGACGGGUGAGUAAUACAUCGGGACCUACCCAGACGUGGGGGAUAACGUAGGGAAACUUACGCUAAUACCGCAUACGUCCUACGGGAGAAAGCAGGGGAUCUUCGGACCUUGCGCGGUUGGACGGACCGAUGUUCGAUUAGCUUGUUGGUGAGGUAAUGGCUCACCAAGGCGACGAUCGAUAGCUGGUCUGAGAGGAUGAUCAGCCACACUGGGACUGAGACACGGCCCAGACUCCUACGGGAGGCAGCAGUGGGGAAUAUUGGACAAUGGGCGCAAGCCUGAUCCAGCAAUACCGCGUGUGUGAAGAAGGCCUUCGGGUUGUAAAGCACUUUUAUCAGGAACGAAACGCUGUCGGUUAAUACCCGGCGGAACUGACGGUACCUGAGGAAUAAGCACCGGCUAACUUCGUGC